RNAcentral lists this long non-coding RNA (2226 nucleotides) under Homo sapiens (human). RNAcentral's name for it is "HSALNT0355474". Lineage: Eukaryota; Metazoa; Chordata; Mammalia; Primates; Hominidae. The record is from RNAcentral.
AGUUCCGGGCCCGGGCUGCCUCCUUACGCAGAACCUCCCCCGAUCCUGCGUGUCCCGUGCUCCUCUCCGAGACCCCGGUCGCCCCAGCGUCCGCAGCAGUCCUGGAAAAAUGUUUAUUUGUGUAGCAAAGCAGGGAGCGGGGCGGCGGGGCUACUUCUUCUUUUUCUUGGCCGCCUUGAGCUUCCCCUCGAUUAGCCGCUGCGCCUGCCUCUUGAUCUCGGCGCGCGAAGGGACGUAGCUGUGGUCCAUGUCGGGGAACUGGAAGGUGUCUGCGGGCGGAGGCGGCGGCUCGCACACGGGGCUAGCCCAGCUAGGCGCAGCCGCCCGACCCGCCUCUCGCCCCCGCCCUCCACCGACCCGGGCCAGGUGCCUUGCCCCAGGGACAGCCCCAGCGUGCCGGGAGGACUCAGCCCAGCCCAUUCGCAGCGGCUCACGCUGCCCUGCCUAGCCUUUCCCGCAGAACCCCCAGUGGAAGCUCCGGCCCAGGCCUUCACCGCGCUCCUCCCUGCUCCAGCCCUGGUGCCUCUCCUCCGGGCCCGUCUGGCAUGGCAUGCCUCCUCCUUUCGGAGAAAUUAACAAGGUAUUUCAGUGGCUUUAGCCUCCCCAUGGCAUCACUAAGUCACCUCCAUCAAUUAAAGUCCUGCAGGUACAACUGAUGCACCCUGUAGCCCCGCUGUCCCUCCAGGAUGUCCCGGUGGGAUGGGAGCCGGCGCCACCCCGACCUGUGUUCCAGCCACCCGCCUGCAGCCCGGGCCCCAGUUCCGGGGCCUGUACCGAUCAUAUCCUCCUCCCGGUUCUCAAAGCUGAUCCUGGUGUUGUACUUCUCCAUCAGAGUCGAGGACUCCAGGGUGUCCCUCACCUUUGUGUCGCCCUGCAGGGCAAAGCCCCCUUCAGCCGUGCAGACACUCUGAACGGGAGCCUGUCAGCUUUGAGGGGACGUGGGCUGUGCAGGUUCCUCCCAGCCCGGGGCUACCUCCUCGGUCCUGGACACCAUCUGCACUCUGUCAGCCAGGUACGUGAGCUUCCCCUCGCAGUACGCCAGCUUGCUGUUCAAAUCGAGGGUGUUGGAGAGCACCACUUCUCUCUGUAGGCCGGGAGGAGGGUCUCAUCUCCCCUCUGGCCCUGCCCAGGGACCUGGUGUGUGGCAGCUCAGCCUCACUCCCGGUACCUGGGUCGCAGGCAAGUUAAUGCCCAUCAGCCGGACAUAGAGGUUGUCGAUGCCCAUCUGGAUGGUCAGCAGCAGCUCCUGGCCCUUGGUCAUGUUGCUGUGCGCCAGCUGGAGCCUCUCUUCUUCCUCUUUUAGCAUGUCUGUCAUUUUCUUCUCAACGGACUUGAAGCUGCAGAAGGCAAUAGGGACACAGCAGUGAGGGGCACAGGCCCGAGAGCCAUGGUGGGCCACCCAGGAGCCCAGUCCUGAGUUGGGUGCUGUGCCAGAAUCAGGGACUCAGAAGCUCAGGUGUGUGCAAGUGGAGUCCCCUGGCCCCUCUGUGGGACACACAGGCUUGUUGGCAGUGGGUAUACUCCCAGCUCCCAGCCUGGCUGCAGCCCGGGGCCUUUGUGAGACUGGGGUGGGUGGCCCGCAGCCCCGGAAGCCCGGGGCACCUGAUGGAGCUAGGCUUCUGGCGGAACUUGAGCACGGCCUCCUCCAGCUCCAGCUGCUUCACCAGGGCCUUCAGCUGCACCCGCCACUCCUCACAGUCCUCCAUCUGCAGCUCCAGGUUCUCCUCCGUGUUCCUCUGGGCCAGGAAGCGGCUAGUGAUGUCCUGGCCAGUCCGGGGGAGAGAGAAGCAGGUGUGGGCCAGGAUGGUGGGCAGAGGGGGCUUCACAGAACUGGUUUCUUCUGGGCCCCUCCUAGACGCUAGUGCACUUUCUCUGUGCUCAUUCACAAGUGUGAUCACAGCUCACUGCAGCCUCAACCUCCCAGACUCAAGCGAUCCUCCCACCUCAGCUUCCUGAGUAGCUGGGACCACAGGUGUGCACCACCACACUUAGCAGGGGUGAAGCGCUUUGUGGAUGUCAUUGCACACGACCCUAAUGGCAGGCAGAGAGGGUAGAUAACCCCAUGUAGAGAUAAGGAGAUCAUCACUGAAGGACGUUGUGUCACUUGAGUCACUUGUCUGACAGUGGACAAGCUUGUGUCAGGGCAGUGGUUAGGAGCUCAAGGCCUAAUAAUAAUAAACGCAGAUACACAGAUGGGAUUAAGAUAAAAGGAUUUGGGGCGGCCGA